This 439-nucleotide ribosomal RNA is filed under the name uncultured bacterium. RNAcentral's name for it is "bacterial SSU rRNA". It matches the Rfam family "Bacterial small subunit ribosomal RNA", at positions 955 to 1393 of the family's 1533-position model. The record is from RNAcentral.
GGGAACGCGAAGAACCUUACCUACCCUUGACAUCCAGAGAAUCUGUUAGAGAUAGUAAAGUUUCCUUCGGGACAUCUGUAAAGGUGCUGCAGGCGUCGUCAGCUCAGUGUCUGGAGGUGUUGGGUUAAGUCCCGUAACAAGCGCAGCCCUUAUCCUUAGUUGCCACUUGUUAAGGUGGGAACUCUAGGGAGACUGCCGGUGAUAACCAGGAGGAAGGUGGGGAAGACGUCAAGUCAUCAUGGCCCUUAUGGGUAGGGCUACACACGUGCUACAAUGGUCGGUACAAAGGGCAGCGAAAACCGCGAGGUAGAGCAAAUCCCACAAAGCCGAUCCUAGUCCGGAUUGCAGUCUGCAACUUGGAUUCCAGGAGGUGGGAAUCGGUAGUAAUCGCGAAUCAGAAUGUCGCGGUGAAUACGUUCCCGGGUCUUGUACACACCGA